RNAcentral lists this small RNA (383 nucleotides) under Pongo abelii (Sumatran orangutan). RNAcentral describes it as "processed transcript". Lineage: Eukaryota; Metazoa; Chordata; Mammalia; Primates; Hominidae. The record is from RNAcentral.
AGGGUGCGGGACAGCCCCUUGCAGAAGACGCCGUACGAGUUUCUCCAGCAUUUGGCUCAAGGUGCCAAGGGCACAUGUGACAAGAAGGUGCAGCUUUUUAAACCUUGGAACUUCUUCUGUGUCAGUUCAGAGACAUACAAUUUACUAAAACACAUCAUGAAGGCCUGUUUUGAAGAGAAGGGGAGUAAGACUACAUCUAUUCAUAUGAGGUAUGUCGAAGUACUUGGACGUGUUUUCAAACCACCAAUCUUGAUGAUUUAGAAAUGUGCUCCCUUUUCCAAUUUCAUCCUGAUAAAAAUGUGUGAUCUCUAGACGUUGCCAAUAUUCCCCUCCAUUCCAUCAUGAGCCGUUCUCUAUAAUUCAGAGUCUGUGGACUAAGCUGU